RNAcentral lists this ribosomal RNA (358 nucleotides) under uncultured cyanobacterium. Its description in RNAcentral is "bacterial SSU rRNA". It matches the Rfam family "Bacterial small subunit ribosomal RNA", at positions 28 to 415 of the family's 1533-position model. The record is from RNAcentral. Lineage: Bacteria; Bacillati; Cyanobacteriota.
GAUGGACGCUGGCGGUCUGCUUAACACAUGCAAGUCGAACGAACUCUUCGGAGUGAGUGGCGGACGGGUGAGUAACGCGUGAGAAUCUGGCUGUGGGUCGGGGACAACCACUGGAAACGGUGGCUAAUACCGGAUGAGCCUUUUGGUAAAAGAGAAAUUGCCUGGAGAUGAGCUCGCGUCUGAUUAGCUAGUUGGUGAGGUAAAAGCUUACCAAGGCGACGAUCAGUAGAUGGUCUGAGAGGAUGAGCAGCCACACUGGGACUGAGACACGGCCCAGACUCCUACGGGAGGCAGCAGUGGGGAAUUUUCCGCAAUGGGCGAAAGCCUGACGGAGCAAGACCGCGUGGGGGAGGAAGGC